RNAcentral lists this ribosomal RNA (380 nucleotides) under uncultured bacterium. RNAcentral describes it as "bacterial SSU rRNA". It matches the Rfam family "Bacterial small subunit ribosomal RNA", at positions 790 to 1167 of the family's 1533-position model. The record is from RNAcentral.
GUAGUCCACGCCGUAAACGAUGAUUACUCGAAGUAUGCGAUAUGACAGUAUGCUUCCAAGCGAAAGUGAUAAGUAAUCCACCUGGGGAGUACGCCGGCAACGGUGAAACUCAAAGGAAUUGACGGGGGCCCGCACAAGCGGAGGAACAUGUGGUUUAAUUCGAUGAUACGCGAGGAACCUUACCCGGGAUUGAAAUGUAUGUGCGCCUCUUGGGAAACCGAGAGGGUUCUCUUCGGAGACACAUAUGUAGGUGCUGCAUGGUUGUCGUCAGCUCGUGCCGUGAGGUGUCGGCUUAAGUGCCAUAACGAGCGCAACCCUUAUCGUCAGUUACUAACAGGUUAAGCUGAGGACUCUGGCGAGACUGCCGUCGUAAGGCGAGA